UGAGGGAAUAUUGGGACAAUGGAGGCAACUCUGAUCCAGCCAUGCCGCGUGAAGGACUAAGGCCCUAUGGGUCGUAAACUUCUUUUGACGCAGAGCAAUAAGGAUUACGUGUAGUCUGAUGAGAGUAUGCGUCGAAUAAGCAUCGGCUAACUCCGUGCCAGCAGCCGCGGUAAUACGGAGGAUGCGAGCGUUAUCCGGAUUUAUUGGGUUUAAAGGGUGCGUAGGCGGAUUAUUAAGUCAGCGGUGAAAGCGUGUGGCUCAACCAUACAGUUGCCGUUGAUACUGGUAGUCUUGAGUGUAAACGAGGUAGGCGGAAUGUGAUGUGUAGCGGUGAAAUGCUUAGAUAUGUCACAGAACCCCGAUUGCGAAGGCAGCUUACUAGGAUACGACUGACGCUGAGGCACGAAAGCGUGGGUAUC
Molecule: ribosomal RNA, 419 nt
Filed under: uncultured bacterium
Lineage: Bacteria
Description: bacterial SSU rRNA
Rfam family: Bacterial small subunit ribosomal RNA
Source: RNAcentral